Molecule: ribosomal RNA, 498 nt
Filed under: uncultured bacterium
Lineage: Bacteria
Description: partial 16S ribosomal RNA
Rfam family: Bacterial small subunit ribosomal RNA
Source: RNAcentral
AUUGAACGCUGGCGGCAUGCUUUACACAUGCAAGUCGAACGGUAACAGGCCGGCAGGUGCUGACGAGUGGCGAACGGGUGAGUAAUGCAUCGGAACGUGCCCAGUCGUGGGGGAUAACGCAGCGAAAGCUGCGCUAAUACCGCAUACGAUCUAUGGAUGAAAGCGGGGGGCCGUAAGGCCUCGCGCGAUUGGAGCGGCCGAUGUCAGGUUAGCUAGUUGGUGGGGGAAAGGCCCACCAAGGCGACGAUCUGUAGCUGGUCUGAGAGGACGACCGGACACACUGGGAGUGGGACACGGCGAAGAGUCCGACGGAAGGCAGCAGUGGGGCAUUUUGGACAAUGGGCGAAAGCCGGAACCAGCAAUGCCGCGUGCAGGAAGAAGGCCUUCGGGUUGUAAACUGCUAUUGUACGGAACGAAACGGUCUUGGUUAAUACCCUGGGCUAAUGACGGUACCGUAAGAAUAAGCACCGGCUAACUACGUGCCAGCAGCCGCAGUAA